GAGGGUAUAGCUCGGUGGUGGAGCACCUGCCUAGCAUGCAUGAAGUCCUGGGUUCAAUUGUCUGUACCGCCA
RNAcentral lists this transfer RNA (72 nucleotides) under Camelus bactrianus (Bactrian camel). It matches the Rfam family "tRNA". From Rfam's summary of the family: Transfer RNA (tRNA) molecules are approximately 80 nucleotides in length. Their secondary structure includes four short double-helical elements and three loops (D, anti-codon, and T loops). The record is from Rfam by way of RNAcentral. RNAcentral also lists the same sequence under 2 other names. Lineage: Eukaryota; Metazoa; Chordata; Mammalia; Artiodactyla; Camelidae.